RNAcentral lists this long non-coding RNA (1572 nucleotides) under Numida meleagris (helmeted guineafowl). Its description in RNAcentral is "lncRNA (ENSNMEG00000019140.1)". The record is from RNAcentral. Lineage: Eukaryota; Metazoa; Chordata; Aves; Galliformes; Numididae.
GAAUACUCCAUUUGCUCCUUAAAAUAGACACCAUUAUCUGUUGAAUUGGCAGGAGUACAGUGAGAGAAAAAAUAAAUUUUAUCCAUGUUAUUGCUGCCUUUCACUGAUAUGUAGGUCAAAGUGUUCCAAAUAAAACAGAAGAAAACCCUGAGUUCCAGAGCAUUAGACAGAAUUCCCUUUUACAGGCAAAAAGUUGUGGGGGUCCCAAAGCCAUCUAGAUAGGGAGUGCAUUCUACCAGAUACAAAAAUGUGGCAUCUAUGGGGAAAAAAUUUUGGAAAAUAGCUUCUGUGCUCUAUCUAGGAUGUGCUCUUGGCUGGUUUUCUGUUAAUCUGUAUAACAUUCACUCAUUGGGCAAGCAGACAGCCAUGAAUUUUUGCCUUGUAAUGUUUGCAGACAUCCAAGUUGAGGGCAUCUGGAGAGAGGUUCCAUUCAGGAUGCUCAGAAGAAACAGCUCUGCACGCAGGAAGCUGGAGAUCCCAUUUUCUUCUGUUAAUGAGAACAAAGGCCUAUUUGUUUUCUGAAUUCCUUUAAUGAAGAACUUUUUUUCAAAGGAGCAUGGCAGUGGGUGCCACAAAUCAAAUGUGAGUAUGUAAAAAUGUGCAGAAAGCAGAACUGUGAGAAUCCUCUUCUCUCCUCUGCUCUCUCUCCUUCUUUCCUUACUCUUUCUUCUUCUACUUCUUCCUUCUUUUCUUCCUUCCUUCCUUCCUUUUUUUCCCUUUCUUUCUGCAUUCCUCCCUUCCUUUCUUACCAUAUUUACAUGUUAUUUAGUGCACAUGGUCCAGAACAACAUAUUUCCAAACAUUAGUAAAUUUACUCUUCUAACCCAUUUCUUGAUGAUUAACUAAUAUCAGAUCUUUCUUAAUUUUGAUGGGCAUUGGCCUCCAAGUCUGACAGUAAGUCAUAUAAUUUCUUUUUGUUAUUUUUGACUUUAUUUAUUUAUAAUUUGUAUGUGCAAAAACACAUAUAUAAGAAAAUUUGUCCCACAGUAAGACUUUUAUAUCACAGUAUGGGUGCUAACCUUUAGUAAUCAUGGAAAUAUGAGUAGCUAACACCUAAUGUUUUCUGUCCUUCAGAUAAUUGCUGCACGGUGACAGUGCUUUGCCUUUCACCAGAAGUUGUUCUGUGAAAGCUUAUUGUGAGAGAUUUUGUCAAAGGCUUGAAAGUUUGUAAAAAGUAUUCCAGUGACUUCUUUACCAUCUACUAUUUGACAUUUUUAAGGAAAUCUAAUGGAUUAGGAAUUAAAAUUUACUGACUAAACCAGUUCCACAUUUAUUUCUGACAUUUGAGUAAGCAGUUACCUUUUCAUUACUCGGGACUUCUUUUAAAAGAAGCAUAUGCAUAUAAAAGUUCAUCAGUUCACAACUCACACACUGUCUUUUUUUAUAGACAAAUGAUUCAAGGAACACUGAAGAUGUUUUGGAUCUUGUAAUUUUUUACCUUAAUUUAGAAUGCUCUAUGCCUAGUAAAUUAUGACUCUACUGAAGCCUUUUCUCUGUCAAAUUUUGUUGCAAUUGGCCAGUGCAUCAGAAAUUACAAGAAGAGAAUAAACAUUUCCAUAGUUCUCUACUACA